Molecule: ribosomal RNA, 253 nt
Filed under: uncultured bacterium
Lineage: Bacteria
Description: partial 16S ribosomal RNA
Rfam family: Bacterial small subunit ribosomal RNA
Source: RNAcentral
UACAGAGGGGGCUAGCGUUGUUCGGAAUUACUGGGCGUAAAGCGCGCGUAGGCGGCUUUGUAAGUUAGAGGUGAAAGCCCGGGGCUCAACUCCGGAAUUGCCUUUAAGACUGCAUCGCUAGAAUCCGGGAGAGGCGAGUGGAAUUCCUGGUGUAGCGGUGGAAUGCGCAGAUAUCAGGAGGAACACCAAUAGCGAAGGCAGCUCGCUGGGACGUUACUGACACUGAGGCGCGAAAGCGUGGGGAGCGAACAGG